AUUGAACGCUGGCGGCAUGCCUUACACAUGCAAGUCGAACGGCAGCGGACCUUCGGGUGCCGGCGAGUGGCGAACGGGUGAGUAAUAUAUCGGAACGUACCUUUCAGUGGGGGAUAACGUAGCGAAAGUUACGCUAAUACCGCAUAUUCUGUGAGCAGGAAAGCAGGGGAUCGCAAGACCUUGCGCUGAUUGAGCGGCCGAUAUCAGAUUAGCUAGUUGGUGAGGUAAAGGCUCACCAAGGCGACGAUCUGUAGCGGGUCUGAGAGGAUGAUCCGCCACACUGGAACUGAGACACGGUCCAGACUCCUACGGGAGGCAGCAGUGGGGAAUUUUGGACAAUGGGCGCAAGCCUGAUCCAGCCAUGCCGCGUGAGUGAAGAAGGCCUGGUGUAAGACUCUUCGU
This 402-nucleotide ribosomal RNA is filed under the name uncultured bacterium. RNAcentral's name for it is "bacterial SSU rRNA". It matches the Rfam family "Bacterial small subunit ribosomal RNA", at positions 30 to 438 of the family's 1533-position model. The record is from RNAcentral.